GCUGAUGAGGAAAUCCUAUUAAGCGAGGUGCAGUGGAGCUGAGACCCUGUUUUCAGGGAGAACCCCUUGGCAGAAACUGCAAUUUCUUUGAAGCUAAUGGACUAACUGAGGC
RNAcentral lists this small nucleolar RNA (112 nucleotides) under Brassica rapa (field mustard). RNAcentral's name for it is "Small nucleolar RNA Z278". It matches the Rfam family "Small nucleolar RNA Z278". Rfam says of the family: snoZ278 is a C/D box small nucleolar RNA. Lineage: Eukaryota; Viridiplantae; Streptophyta; Magnoliopsida; Brassicales; Brassicaceae. The record is from Rfam by way of RNAcentral.